AUGCUCCUCUCGCUGGAUGUGGGGCACAGCCUGGGGUUCUCCACUGGCUCACCCAGGAAGCACCUCUCAUCCCCGUCGGGAGCACCCUGCUUCCUCCAGCCACAUUUGCUUGACCUCACAAUGACAGCACUCGGCACUCUUUGGAUUCUUUUUCGUUUCCCCAGCACUUCUGGGAACUGUGCACCAAAGUUAGGAGACACAUCCCUGGACUGCUUCCCCAGACCUCUGUCCCUUCUUGCUCAUCCUCUUGGUAGGUCUGGCUCUCCCUGGCACACGCGGGACUUUGGCCACGUCCCCGGCCACCUGAGGUGGGAGCAUCCCAGCUGCAGUGGUGAGCAGGUCGACAGUCUGUUGAGGAUGAUUCUUCGGCAUCUCAGGUCUGUAUUUGGAGUGGUGAAGGAUGACUGCGUUCACAGGAAGAGCAAUUUCUCUUCUCCUGACAUUGAGUUCAGGCUUAGGGCGGUUGCAUUCUUGGAGGCAUCUCCACUGGUCUAAUGUCAUUUGUUGUCUGGAGGUCUCUUCCCCACGCUCCUCCAACUCAGGAAGGUUCACGGAGGGAUCCGUUGCCGGCUCUCCUGAGGCCUCACCCACCACCGUGGGGUCUGCCUCGGGAGAUGCGAGUCCUCCCUCCUCGACUGACUCCCUCCCAAGGUCUCUCUCCAGAUCAGUCUUCUGCAUAUAAAAGAGGACAUAGGCAGGUUGGCGCAGCGCACAAAUCACAUCACAGGCGCUGACCUUAGCAUCAUCCAUUUUAUACCACUGGCCAUUUCCUGCCUUUACGAAACAGAAGUAAUGUCCGCUGUGGCAACUCCUCCCAGCGUGCACCAGCACGGCAUAGAGCACAUAAACCAAGGGUCCUGCCCUCUGCUCAGACAGGCAGUGUUGCAUGUCAAGGCGCUCAGGAUAUUGCACCUCCUUAGUCAUUUUGUUGCCUGUCAAGUCUGAGAAUCGUCUCAAGACCAGGAUGAGGACCUUCGGGGAAGUGUGCAAAGUCUACACCUUGGACGCAGGCACCUUCUCCAGACACUUACU
Molecule: long non-coding RNA, 1032 nt
Filed under: Canis lupus familiaris (dog)
Lineage: Eukaryota; Metazoa; Chordata; Mammalia; Carnivora; Canidae
Description: lncRNA (ENSCAFG00030011694.1)
Source: RNAcentral